AGAGCGAACGCUGGCGGCAGGCCUAACACAUGCAAGUCGAGCGCCCCGCAAGGGGAGCGGCAGACGGGAGAGUAACACGUGGGAACGUACCCUUUGGUUCGGAACAACACAGGGAAACUUGUGCUAAUACCGGAUAAGCCCUUACGGGGAAAGAUUUAUUGCCAAAGGAUCGGCCCGCGUCUGAUUAGCUUGUUGGUGAGGUAACGGCUCACCAAGGCUACGAUCAGUAGCUGGUCUGAGAGGAUGAUCAGCCUCACUGGGACUGAGACACGGCCCAGACUCCUACGGGAGGCAGCAGUGGGGAAUAUUGGACAAUGGGCGCAAGCCUGAUCCAGCCAUGCCGCGUGAGUGAUGAAGGCCUUAGGGUUGUAAAGCUCUUUCGCACGCGACGAUAAUGACGGUAGCGUGAGAAGAAGCCCGGCUAACUUCGUGCCAGCAGCCGC
Molecule: ribosomal RNA, 443 nt
Filed under: uncultured bacterium
Lineage: Bacteria
Description: SSU rRNA
Rfam family: Bacterial small subunit ribosomal RNA
Source: RNAcentral